RNAcentral lists this unclassified non-coding RNA (237 nucleotides) under Chytridiomycota sp. RNAcentral describes it as "partial contains small subunit ribosomal RNA, internal transcribed spacer 1, and 5.8S ribosomal RNA". The stretch from base 1 to 47 matches the Rfam family "Eukaryotic small subunit ribosomal RNA", at positions 1785 to 1831 of the family's 1831-position model. Lineage: Eukaryota; Fungi; Chytridiomycota. The record is from RNAcentral.
AAAGUCGUAACAAGGUAACCGUAGGUGAACCUGCGGUUGGAUCAUUAAAAAAUGAUGGUUUUGUAGCUUGAGCUGCUUUCGAGUGGCUCGCUUCAAAACUUAUUCACCCUUGUGCAUCGUAAUGUUUUUUGGGUCGGUUUUACGACUGGCCCAGCAUUUAUAAACACCUUUUAAUUUUGACUGAAUUUUUUUGAAAAUAAAAAAUAACAACUUUUGACAACGGAUCUCUUGGCUCUC